GAUGAACGCUGGCGGCGUGCCUAAUACAUGCAAGUCGAGCGAACAGACGAGGAGCUUGCUCCUCUAACGUUAGCGGCGGACGGGUGAGUAACACGUGGAUAACCUACCUAUAAGACUGGGAUAACUUCGGGAAACCGGAGCUAAUACCGGAUAAUAUAUUGAACCGCAUGGUUCAAUAGUGAAAGACGGUUUUGCUGUCACUUAUAGAUGGAUCCGCGCCGCAUUAGCUAGUUGGUAAGGUAACAGCUUACCAAGGCAACGAUGCUUAGCCGACCUGAGAGGGUGAUCGGCCACACUGGAACUGAGACACGGUCCAGACUCCUACGGGAGGCAGCAGUAGGGAAUCUUCCGCAAUGGGCGAAAGCCUGACGGAGCAACGCCGCGUGAGUGAUGAAGGUCUUCGGAUCGUAAAACUCUGUUAUUAGGGAAGAACAAAUGUGUAAGUAACUAUGCACGUCUUGACGGUACCUAAUCAGAAAGCCACGGCUAACUACGUG
RNAcentral lists this ribosomal RNA (497 nucleotides) under uncultured bacterium. RNAcentral's name for it is "partial 16S ribosomal RNA". It matches the Rfam family "Bacterial small subunit ribosomal RNA", at positions 28 to 507 of the family's 1533-position model. The record is from RNAcentral.